ACGGGUGAGUAAUACAUCGGAACAUGUCCUGUAGUGGGGGAUAGCCCGGCGAAAGCCGGAUUAAUACCGCAUACGAUCUACGGAUGAAAGCGGGGGACCUUCGGGCCUCGCGCUAUAGGGUUGGCCGAUGGCUGAUUAGCUAGUUGGUGGGGUAAAGGCCUACCAAGGCGACGAUCAGUAGCUGGUCUGAGAGGACGACCAGCCACACUGGGACUGAGACACGGCCCAGGCUCCUACGGGAGGCAGCAGUGGGGAAUUUUGGACAAUGGGCGAAAGCCUGAUCCAGCAAUGCCGCGUGUGUGAAGAAGGCCUUCGGGUUGUAAAGCACUUUUGUCCGGAAAGAAAUCCUUGGCUCUAAUACAGCCGGGGGAUGACGGUACCGGAAGAAUAAGCACCGGCUAACUACGUGCCAGCAGCCGCGGUAAUACGUAGGGUGCAAGCGUUAAUCGGAAUUACUGGGCGUAAAGCGUGCGCAGGCGGUUUGCUAAGACCGAUGUGAAAUCCCCGGGCUCAACCUGGGAACUGCAUUGGUGACUGGCAGGCUAGAGUAUGGCAGAGGGGGGUAGAAUUCCACGU
This 576-nucleotide ribosomal RNA is filed under the name uncultured bacterium. RNAcentral describes it as "bacterial SSU rRNA". It matches the Rfam family "Bacterial small subunit ribosomal RNA", at positions 102 to 674 of the family's 1533-position model. The record is from RNAcentral.